UGGGUAACCUGCCUCAAAGAGGGGAAUAGCCUCCCGAAAGGGGAGAUUAAUACCGCAUAAUAUGUUUAAGUCGCAUGACUUUAACAUCAAAGGAUUUUCUUUUAGAACUUCCACUUUGAGAUGGACCCGCGGCGCAUUAGCUAGUUGGUGAGGUAACGGCUCACCAAGGCAACGAUGCGUAGCCGACCUGAGAGGGUNAUCGGCCACAUUGGAACUGAGACACGGUCCAGACUCCGUAGGGAG
Molecule: ribosomal RNA, 243 nt
Filed under: uncultured bacterium
Lineage: Bacteria
Description: partial 16S ribosomal RNA
Rfam family: Bacterial small subunit ribosomal RNA
Source: RNAcentral